AUUUUCUAUUGUCCGCAGGCAGUUAGAUCUGCCAUAGGAAUCAUGAGCCAGUGAGAACUUAGCUUACAGUUCAACAAAAGUUGGCUUUGGAAUAAGUGUACAUUCGUCCCAGAAUAUAAACAUUUUUGGAACAGAACUGAUAGUCAAUAUGGCAUCAUCUAAAAAGUGCAAGAAACAAACAAAAUAUAAUAAGAAUUUAAAACAAUACUCGAGUAAAACGCAAAAAAUUCUCGGUUUGAGCAAAAAUGGCUUUUGGAACUUCCUGCGGAACUACAGAAAGAGGCAUUCCAGGCUGACGCCAGGAGCUACGAUCCGACAUGGAGCCAGGGAUUGGUGUGCACUUACAAGAAAACAGAAGGAAAAAUAUUACAAUAUGGAACGGGCCUCAUCUGCAAGCACUCUUGCAUUACUAAACUUUUUGUGUAUUUUAAAUUAAUGUACAUUCAAUAAUAUUAAACUUUCCUCUUGUGUAUUUUAAA
Drosophila obscura is the source of this 479-nucleotide long non-coding RNA. RefSeq lists it as uncharacterized. The transcript has 2 exons. The record is from RefSeq and is a predicted model, not a curated record. Lineage: Eukaryota; Metazoa; Arthropoda; Insecta; Diptera; Drosophilidae.